RNAcentral lists this ribosomal RNA (160 nucleotides) under uncultured Aeromonas sp. RNAcentral describes it as "partial 16S ribosomal RNA". It matches the Rfam family "Bacterial small subunit ribosomal RNA", at positions 334 to 486 of the family's 1533-position model. The record is from RNAcentral. Lineage: Bacteria; Pseudomonadati; Pseudomonadota; Gammaproteobacteria; Aeromonadales; Aeromonadaceae.
UACUCCUACGGGAGGCAGCAGUGGGGAAUAUUGCACAAUGGGGGAAACCCUGAUGCAGCCAUGCCGCGUGUGUGAAGAAGGCCUUCGGGUUGUAAAGCACUUUCAGCGAGGAGGAAAGGUUGGUAGCUAAUACGCGUCAGCUGUGACGUUACUCGCAGAA